UUCACUCAGGUUAAAGAAUGAAAUAUUAGUCUUGCAUCAAAUGUAUGUAAAAAUCUAGCUUUUAUAUAUUAACUUGUGAUCAGAGCAACUGGUAUGUUGGUUGGAUAUAUUACAUAUCCAUUUGAUGUUUAUCACCAGAAGUUAGUUCUACCUUUGCAGUACCUCUGCUCUACAUACCUCCUCGCUGGUUAAAGAAUGGAAUAUAAAUCUCAUAUCAAGUUGGUGUAAAAAUUUAGUGAGUAUGAAUCUGAUAUCAAUUGGAUGUACAAAGAUAGUUUACUUCUUAAAGAACCUAUCAGUAAACCAACUGAUUAUAAAACAGUUUUUAAUGGGAAUAAAAACAAAUUUUCAAAAGA
This is a non-coding RNA of Hydra vulgaris (swiftwater hydra), 356 nucleotides long. The record is from RefSeq and is a predicted model, not a curated record. Lineage: Eukaryota; Metazoa; Cnidaria; Hydrozoa; Anthoathecata; Hydridae.